RNAcentral lists this long non-coding RNA (535 nucleotides) under Bos taurus (domestic cattle). RNAcentral describes it as "long non-coding RNA NONBTAT009342". The record is from RNAcentral. Lineage: Eukaryota; Metazoa; Chordata; Mammalia; Artiodactyla; Bovidae.
CUACCUUUUUGGUUUUCCCGACCAAUCAGUAAAAAGAAAAAGAAAAAAGAGCAUGACUCUAAAAGAUGUAUAUUUAUAAACAGUGUGGUGUGUUAUUAAUAGUUGGUGUGUGUUGUAAAUGACACCAAAACUAGAGUAAAACGAUGACAUUAAAAAAAGACAAAAGGUAUUUUCUUCUCAUACUCCAAUGGACCACUUAUAGGCUCCCUGAAGGAGUAUACUCGUUUGUGGACCCCUGUUUUGGGUCAUGAAGCCAGCAUGGCAAAUGCGUAGAAAUCCUGCUCAUUUGGGUGUGUGUUAGGGUUUGACGGCUUACUUCACUUCAUUUGUAGUACUGAGUUGCCAAACCCUGGCAACACAUGCCUAAGAACUUGAGGGUGUGGAAAAACGUAACUGGACAAAGUGGAAAAUAAAGGUUCUCAACUGAAUGAAGCAAAGACCAGACAUGAAUGACCUUCACUGUAGAGGCUGGGGACUAGAGUAGCAAAUGUUUUUAUUUUCCUGUAUACCUUUAAGACAGACCAAGAACUUUGGA